This 265-nucleotide unclassified non-coding RNA is filed under the name Hevea brasiliensis (rubber tree). The record is from RNAcentral. Lineage: Eukaryota; Viridiplantae; Streptophyta; Magnoliopsida; Malpighiales; Euphorbiaceae.
GAGACUAUGAAGCAAUUUCAGCAAAGCUUGGUUGAGCUUGAAACCGAAGCUGAGCACCUCCUUUUAGCCCGGCAUCAGGUGGUUGAAAAUGAUAAAAUGAGGAAUGGGAACAGGGAAGCACUUACGGCGNNNNAACAAAAACUAGUGUUCCUUCACCCUAUCAGUCGAUCAUGAAGGAUAUUGGGAGGUCUGCAUCAAGGCCUUUGGUGAAGGAGGUAUGUGCAACAUGUGGCAACCAUGACCCAGAUGAGCGCACAUGGAUGAU